AUACGGAGGGUGCAAGCGUUAAUCGGAAUUACUGGGCGUAAAGAGUACGUAGGUGGUUCGUUAAGUCAGAUGUGAAAGCCCAGGGCUCAACCUUGGAACUGCAUUUGAUACUGGCGAACUAGAGUAUGGUAGAGGGGGGUAGAAUUCAUAGUGUAGCGGUGAAAUGCGUAGAUAUUAUGAGGAAUACCAGUGGCGAAGGCGGCCCCCUGGACCAAUACUGACACUGAGGUACGAAAGCGUGGGUAGCGAACAGGAUUAGAAACCCCAGUAGUCC
RNAcentral lists this ribosomal RNA (274 nucleotides) under uncultured bacterium. RNAcentral's name for it is "partial 16S ribosomal RNA". It matches the Rfam family "Bacterial small subunit ribosomal RNA", at positions 523 to 796 of the family's 1533-position model. The record is from RNAcentral.